This 1418-nucleotide unclassified non-coding RNA is filed under the name Caenorhabditis elegans. RNAcentral's name for it is "Non-coding transcript of protein-coding gene lron-11". Lineage: Eukaryota; Metazoa; Nematoda; Chromadorea; Rhabditida; Rhabditidae. The record is from RNAcentral.
AUCUGGAGCAACUCAUCCUGCAUAACAACUCGAUCACCCAUCUCUCUGCAGACGUCUUCUCCACACUUCCAUCUCUUCGAGUCCUCGAUCUCUCUUCCAACAGUCUUUUGUCACUUCCAAAUGAAGUAUUCUCAAAACUCAAGAAUCUAAAGACCCUCAUCAUCUCCUCCAACGAUGUACAACUCGGACCUGAAUGCUUUGCCGGGCUCUCCCAACUGCAAACUCUUUCCAUUGCCGAUAACCGUCUCUCAUUCCUUCCUCCAUCGGUUUUAAAGCCUCUUUCGGGACUUCGAAAUCUCGAUUUGUCUGCAAAUAAGCUCCUGUCAAUGCCGGCGUCUGUUAUGAAUAACCUGGGAGGCUUGGAGACUCUCAAGCUGAAGCAGAACCUUCUGUCAAGUCUCGAAACUGGAAUGUUCCUCUCACAAAAAGAGCUGAAGCAUCUGGAUGUGAGUGAGAAUCUCAUUGGAGACAUUGAAGAGGGUGCUCUCUACGGGCUCGAGAAGCUGGAAACCCUGAAUUUGACGAAUAACCAGCUGGUUCGACUGCCAGGAAACACGUGGUCCCUGCCCGCUUUGAAGACUCUCGAUUUGUCGUCGAAUUUGUUUGUUUCACUGGAAACCGCGUCGUUCGAUGGGCUUCCCGCGUUGCAGUAUUUGAAUAUUUCACAUUCAAGGAAUUUGAAAACGAUUCAGAUGGCCACCUUCGUCCAGCUCUCCUCACUCCACUGGCUCUCGAUCUCAUCAUCAGCUCUCACCCACAUCCAUCCAUCAGCCUUCAACCCGAUCCCUCCACUCUCCCAUCUGGAUCUCUCGAACAACGAGCUCCGUUACGUGGCUCCAGGAAUGCUCCAAUGGCCGAACAUUCGCAAUUUGCACUUGGCCAACAACGACUGGCACUGCUCCUGUGAUCUCCGCGUCUCAAAUCUCAACCCACGAGACGACGCGAAAUGCUCGGGACCCGAAAACCUGGCCGGCGCACCUAUCAACGAACUGAGCUCCUGCAGUAUUCUAGGAGGGCUCUUGAUUCCAUUCCUUUUGGUGCUCUUCAUCCUUCUCCUGGCUCUGGUGAUUCUGGCUCUAGCUUGUAAGAAGUCCAAGCCGGUUUCUCUGAAGAACCGCGCAUUCUACAAUGAUCAAUUGAUUGCCGCGUUGAACUCUCACAAGGAGUACUCCUUCGAUUGUCAUUCACCGUACACGAUGAGCUCCGAGGAUUCCCGGGAUUCAGCCUACGAGUCGCCAACAUCUGCUCUGAUGCCUCGUCGUCCACCACCAUCCUGUCCACCUCCACCAAGGCUCCUAACACUUCCGAGGGCCGGGCCAACUCAUGUAGCGCCACCGAUGGUUCCAGUUCCAAACUUUCGAAAUUCAAAUGACCCCUACUUGAUUCCAAAGUCACAAGUCCCAAUUACAAGACUCUAG